AGGUAUCACAUGAAGUGUCAUUUACCACAUAAUCAUACAGGAUAACAGCUUCCAGAGUGUUUAUGCUGCUGAACAGUCCACCGCUGCAGAUGCAAAUUGACAGUAAUUAUCUUUUCUUCCCAGGGCGUUUGUCAUUUUAGCAGUGGCGAGUGUGAAGGAACAGAUUACAUUUAUAAUAAUAACAGAUUUUAGGCAGCAAGCGGAGAUGAUUUUUUCCGUCACUUUGAAAACAGUAACAGCAAGACGAGAGUGUUUGUGUGGUCUGUUUUUCAUCCUGACUGAUCAUUUCUCCUGCUGCAGAGCGAUGACACAGCAGAGCUGUGUAUGUGCUCCUGAAACCUGAAUGCUGUCAUCAUGUUUUGGUCAGGAGAAGCACAUAUGGUGGGUCAUGAAGGGCCGGACCCUGCCACAGCAUGAAUUAAGCCAGAGGACAGGAAAGCACACUGAAAAGUUUCCACUGUCAGAGGACUAACAUGGAGAGAUAGACAAUCACAUUUAAGGCAUUAAGUCAAUCCAGUGGCUGGUCCGUCUAUCUUACGUGGGUUUUAAAUCGGAAGAAAACGUAUAAGCCAAAAACUCAGAGACAGAAAUACAAAUGGAAGACACCUCACCACAUUUAUUCUCUUAUUAUGGCGGUCUAAAUGAUGUUUUUACUUCAUCUCCCCUAAAAGAAAUAUAGAUAAAAAUGGAGCCCUAGAUAUCCUUUCCUGUCCUAGCUUGAGCGCCAUUGUCUUCAAAUGAAUGUACUUGUAUGUGUCUCUUGGUCACCGAUAUUUUAGGCAUUUCUACUCAGGCAGAUUUAAAUAUAAAUAAGUGUAACAUAUAAACUUUCAUAGUUCAUUCAGCUGUUUUUUUUUAAACUGUUUUAUCUUUAAUUAAAAUAAGUACUGAAUUCCAGAUUGCUAAUUUCAAUGGGAGUUAAUGGUUGGUUAAGAUGGCACGUGCAUAGGAGUGCAGCCAGUUGAGAAGUUGUGAAUUUGAUAUACGUUAAUGUUAUGUCAAGGUUUUUCUAUGUACUUUCCUUUCGUCCAUUGAAGUCAGUUUGUGGGCAUUACAGCUAUAAUAGUUAUAAAUUUAGUAAUUACUGAAAACUAGUGCAACAGAAAGAAAAAAAAGAUUAAGUUUAGCAACCAUUAACAGAGUUCUCGUAGUUGCCAGUUGUAUUU
This is a long non-coding RNA of Larimichthys crocea (large yellow croaker), 1166 nucleotides long. RefSeq lists it as uncharacterized. The transcript is spliced from 3 exons. Lineage: Eukaryota; Metazoa; Chordata; Actinopteri; Sciaenidae. The record is from RefSeq and is a predicted model, not a curated record.